Molecule: ribosomal RNA, 176 nt
Filed under: Tachysurus sinensis
Lineage: Eukaryota; Metazoa; Chordata; Actinopteri; Siluriformes; Bagridae
Also listed under: 2 other names
Description: partial small subunit ribosomal RNA
Source: RNAcentral
CACCGCGGUUAUACGAAAGACCCUAGUUGACAAACACGGCGUAAAGGGUGGUUAAGGGACAUGUAAAAUAAAGCCAAAGACCCUCUAAGCCGUCAUACGCACCCCGAAGGUACGAAGCCCCCACACGAAAGUAGCUUUAAACAUAUAAAGCCCCUGACCCCACGAAAGCUAAGAAA